This 464-nucleotide long non-coding RNA is filed under the name Linum usitatissimum (flax). RNAcentral describes it as "long non-coding RNA (LUSI_LNC005879)". Lineage: Eukaryota; Viridiplantae; Streptophyta; Magnoliopsida; Malpighiales; Linaceae. The record is from RNAcentral.
AAUGGAGUGUAGACCGUUGGUCAACGUCACAAAGAGGAAACGAAAGAGGAUGAAACAUAGCGCUUUGUGUAAUGAAUUUAAUUGAGUUUUCCGCUGCACACUUUGAUGACACUUGUCUUUUUACAUUUUUUUAAUUUCAUUUUCACUGUUGUGACUUUACCGUUGAGGAUAUAAACUCAACAGUCUGAAUAAACGAGCUAACACUUGCUGCUCCAAGUUUCUCCCAAUCUCAAAUUCUCUCUUCUUCCUCAGUGUUCAUCGUCGAUUUGCUCGUAAUCAAAUAUGGUAUCAGGCGGGUUCCGACGAUCUAACCUUUCAGGAUGAAGCGCAACCAUAACGAGGAGGAUGAUGAUGAACCGCCUCAUCAUCAACAUACUCCAGGUUUUACUUUUGGAUCUAUCGGUGCGAGUCAAAAUAAUGAAUCAUCAUUGAAUACUGUAGUUUUAACUUUCGGAAAUCCUUAU